GGGGGCAGAAAAAAAGUUUGCUUUAGAUACUUAAGGACUCAGGAAAUUUACUUCCCUUGGAGGAAGUAAAUUAAGACUCAAGAACAUGCUCAAGUAAAAGAAGAAAUAUCAAAGGGCUGAAUGAAAGAAUAAAUACAAUUUGAGUACAAUCGAUGGCUUUAAAGUUAACAAUAUAUACUUAAUGACUAAAAAAAAAGUCAUAUAACUAUAUCACAAGAAUGGAGAAAAGUAUGCAGACAAGCUUAUAAUAAAGAUGGGUCCUCAUGCUACAAGAUGUCAACAGCAGCUGAUCUUCAAGACCAUGUACUUUAUCCGUGGAAGCUCACUGUCAGACCUAAAAGUUCACUUCUG
Molecule: long non-coding RNA, 351 nt
Filed under: Rhinopithecus bieti (black snub-nosed monkey)
Lineage: Eukaryota; Metazoa; Chordata; Mammalia; Primates; Cercopithecidae
Description: lncRNA (ENSRBIG00000046211.1)
Source: RNAcentral